CGAGAAAGGAAAAGAUUAGGAAUGAGGAUAUCCGGGGUAAAGUAGGAGUAACCGAAAUUGAAGGAAAGAUGAGAGAAAAUCGGUUACGGUGGUUUGGACAUGUGCAAAGAAGGCCUACUGACGCUCCGAUUAGAAGAUGCGACUAUGGGACAGAGGUUCAGGGCCGAAGGGGUAGAGGAAGACCUAGGGAAAACUUUGGAAGAGACUCUAAGAAAAGACUUAGAGUACUUGGAUCUAACGAAGGACAUGACACAGGAUCGAGCACAAUGGCGUUCUAAGAUUCAUAUAGCCGAUCCCACUCAGUGACUUGGAUUUUCCAAGUCUCCAACCAAGAAGUUUUCCUCACUCGGGAAAUUAAGGGAACACUACCCCAACCUACAUGCUCCACUCAGAAAGCUUCAACAUACAAGCUUCAACAAAAGCAAAUUCAAAGAACUUAGCGAAGAAGGCUUUGGUGUAUUUAACACAAUACGUUGAAAUGAAGGAAAGCUUAUUUAUUGAUAUCCCCGAUAAGCUACAAAUAUGUACAUAUACAUGAGUCAAAAUAAACACACACAAGAGGGAGCCUUCACAAAGGUUGCUUAGGAGAAGUCUCAGCAGUCGGUAGAGCCCCAGAAAGAGAAGGCACCGGAGGGGGAUCAUUUGGAGCCUCAGUACUGGACAAAACCCUAGAAGGAGGAGGCAUCAGAGGUUGAUCAUUUGGAGCUUCAUUACGCGGUACAGCCCCAGAAGACGAAGGCAAUAAAUGCCUUUGGAACAAACCCACAAAUCUCUGAUGAUCAAGUAAAACCUGACCAUCAGUUUCCUUCAUCUGGUCAAGCUUCCUCUUCAUGUUUGUAGCAUAGUCAUGUGCGAGCCGGUGCAACUGUUUAUUCUCAUGCUUGAGCCCUCUAAUCUCCUGUUUGAGACUCAUUACUUCAGCCGCCAAUGAUUCAACUUGGCGGGUUCGAGCAAAUAGGCGUUGGGCCAUAUUAGACACAGAACCUGCACACUGAACACUGAGAGCCAGCGAAUCCUUAACAGCUAACUCAUCAGACCGUUUGGAAAGUAGUCUGUUAUCUUUGGGAGUGAGAAGGUUCCUGGCCACCACCGCAGCGGUCAUAUCAUUCUUCAUCACGGAAUCCCCAACGGUAAGAGGACCAGUUGGGGAGACAAAGGAUGGGCGCCAUAUGUUGUCUGGAGAAGGCGGGGCUGCCUCUUCAACAAGGUUCAAGUCAAAACGACGGUCGGAGGGGCCAGACAUUUUCAAAGGUGUUGAAGAGAGAAGAGGUCGGACAAAUCAAGAUCUUAGAAGUGCAAGAAUGAAGCUUCUACUGGUGGAGAUUCAAGUGUGCUUUGGAACUUAAUGCCAGCCUCUAUAUAAAAAUCUGCACUCGACGGAGCUUCAGAAAUCAAAGAGGCGCCUGCUCAGAAAUCGAAGAGGCGUUUGCUUUCUCAAAAGUUGGGCUGCUUAGAGAUCACGAGGGUUGAUCUCAGAAAUCGAAGAGCCGUUUGCUUUCUCAAAAGUUGGGCUGCUCAAAGACCACGAAGGCCGAUCUCAGAAAUCGAAGAGGCGCUCGCUUUCUCAAAAGCUGGGCUCCCUAGAGACCACGAGGGCCGAUCUCAGAAAUCGAAGAGGCACCUACUUUUCCAGCCUUGUCAGCACCUGUCACACGCACACUCAGCUUUGCGGAAAUUAUGGGCAUUCUGUCAAAGACUUCUGGGGAAGUAGAAAACACAUGAAUCUUACUGUUCAAUCACCCACUUCCCACACGCAACAAUAAGCUCAUGGGUACCACAGAUAACUUUGCCAAAGUUCUCUGCCAAAGUUGAGCACGUGAAGCUUGCAGCUCCCACUACAUCGCUCUGACCAAGAAGGGUAAAAGAAUAGCAAAGAAAACAGCACUAACAAAGUUUAGACCCAUAAAUUUUGAAGGUCUAGCUACCAUAUUAUUACCCACAAGGGUAAAGGAACAGUACCACUGCUGGAUAAUUGGAAAGUCCAUGUAUGUCAACCUCUGUGCUUCGUGGCAAGGUAGACUAGCAAACAUGCCCAACCUUUACUCACAUUCGAGAAAACACUCCCAAUAAGAUUGCUUGCUCCAAAAUCGAAGAGGCACCGUCCUCCGAAUCUAAAGAGCCAGACUCCCAACAUGACUACUUUCUUAAAAAUCGAAGAGAGGGUAAAGGAACAGUACCAUUGCUGGAUAAUUGGAAAGUCCCUGUGUGUCAACCUCUGUGCUUCGUGGCAAGGUAGACUAGCAAACAUGCCCAACCUUUACUCACAUUCGAGAAAACACUCCCAACAAGAUUGCUUGCUCCAAAAUCGAAGAGGCACCGCCCUCCGAAUCUCGAGAGCCACUCUCCCAACAUGAUUACUUUCUCAAAAAUCGAAGAGACUGCUCCCCGAAUCUCGAGAGCCAGACCCCCAGCAUGAUUGCUUUCUCAAAAAUCGGUGAGGCACCAUUCUCCGAAUCAAUCGAAGAGGCGCUCGCUUUCUCAAAAGCUGGGCUGCUCAGAGACCACGAGGGCCGAUCUCAGAAAUCGAAGAGGCACCUACUUUUCUAGCCUUGUCAGCACCUGUCACACGCACACUCAGCUUUGCAGAAAUUAUGGGCAUUCUGUCGAAGACUUCUGGUGAAGUAGAAAGCACAUGAAUCUUACUGUUCAAUCACCCACUUCCCACACGCAACAAUAACUCAUGGGUACCACAGAUCACUUUGCCAAAGUUCUCUGCCAAAGUUGAGCACGUGAAGCUUGCAGCUCCCACUACAUCGCUCUGACCAAGAAAGGUAAAAGAAUAGCAAAGAAACAGCACUAACAAAGUUUAGACACAUAAAUUUUGAAGGUCUAGCUACCAUAUUAUUACCCACAAGGGUAAAGGAACAGUACCACUGCUGGAUAAUUGGAAAGUCCCUGUGUGUCAACCUCUGUGCUUCGUGGCAAGGUAGACUAGCAAACAUGCCCAACCUUUACUCACAUUCGAGAAAACAGUCCCAACAAGAUUGCUUGCUCCAAAAUCGAAGAGGCACCGUCCUCCGAAUCUCGAGAGCCAGACUCCCAACAUGACUACUUUCUCAAAAUCGAAGAGAGGGUAAAGGAACAGUACCAUUGCUGGAUAAUUGGAAAGUCCCUGUGUGUCAACCUUUGUGCUUCGUGGCAAGGUAGACUAGCAAACAUGUCCAACCUUUACUCACAUUCGAGACAACACUCCCAACAAGAUUGCUUGCUCCAAAAUCGAAGAGGCACCGUCUUCCGAAUCUCGAGAGCCAGACUCCCAACAUGAUUACUUCCUCAAAAAUCGAAGAGACACUGCUCUCCGAAUCUCGAGAGUCAGACCCCCAGCAUAAUUGCUUUCUCAAAAAUCGAAGAGGGCAUCGUUCUCCGAAUCUCGAGAGCCAGAUACCACAGACCACUUUUUCAAAGUGCUCUGACAGAGUUAAAACAUGUGAAACUGGCAGCUCCCACUACCGUGUGCUAUGACCAAGCAGGGUAAAGGAAUAGCAUUACUACUUGUUGUUAGGGAGACGCCUAUAUAUGUCGACCUCCAUCCCCAACGGACAGGCAGACCUGCAAAAAUGCUCAACCCUUCAUCAUAUCUGAGAGGGCACUCCCAACAAAGCCUUUCGAAAUAUUCAGCUUUCUUUCCCCCCGAUAAUACCUCUGCAAACAAGCUAUACUAGAGCAAGAAUAUCUCAUAUCAUCAGGGUUAAAAGCAAGAGUAUCCCAUAUCAUGCUUUUUCCCUGUUUUUUCUUUUUGGCCUUGUUUUUUACCUGCAAGACAAGGAGAAAGAGAGCAAUCAGUCAGCACUUGGAAUCAAGCUUCCAGCCAGGAACUGACUGCCUGGAACCCCUUACCUGAUUACUUACCUGGCAUUGCUCUCGAGUACUCAUCUUCAUCAUCUUAUGUUUCCAGGGAAGAUUCCGCAUCUGCUUGAGGAACAGAUAGGGCAAGUGCGAAGGAUACAAGGAAGCAUGUGGAGACAAGCGUAACAGCACACGUGCCGAUACAUCCAUUACUCUGUCAAAAGCAAAAGUAUCCCAUAUCAGCAGGGUGGAACGUACUCUAGAUUUGAUGGACUUGUUUUGACCCUCAAAUUUCUUCAGUCGGCCUUAUACUCUGGAGGAAACCAGAAAACCCUCCAGCUCAGUUCAAGAAUAAGCCUGUGGAAAGUUACUUCUUCAAAAGCAAAAGUAUCUCAUAUAUCAUCUCUUCUCAUUUUUCUUCUCUUUAUCCUUCAUGCUGCUGCAAGAUGGGGAGAAGGUGAACAAUCAGUCGGAGCUCUGAUUGCUUACCUUGUCUGUCAACGCUUUCAGCAGACCCCCUAGCUCGGCGACUUGGGGGACUCCUACUACAUGGUUUGUAUCGCGCUUGACCAAGCCUGAAACUACAAGUAAGCUUCAAGUGAAAUUGAUACAUUACCUUGUGCAUCUCCACCAGUUAAAGAUACCACCCCUGGAUGGAGGAAGAGUACUUCCAGAGAAGAUGCCACAUCUACCUAUGAGACAGAUAAGGCAAGUCAAGACGACACCACACUCCGAUACUUAGAAGUUUCGUGAUUACGAGAUCAUUCUCCCACAAUAUUUCCUAAUGUCAUUUGUACUAAAUCAUUCACUCGUACUCACUAAAGGAGAGCUUGAACCUAUGUACUUGUGUAAACCCUUCACAAUUAAUGAGAACUCUUCUAUUCCGUGGACGCAGCCAAUCUGGGUGAACCACGUACAUCUUGUGUUUGCUUUCCUAUCUCUAUCCAUUUAUAUACUUAUCCACACUAAUGACCGGAGCAAUCUAGCGAAGAUCACAAAAAGCGACCGUUUUCGUUACCUAGGAUCUAUCUUGCAAGAGAACGGAGAAUUAGAUGGAGAUCUCAACCAUAGAAUACGAGCUGGAUGGAAAGAGUGCAUCCGGCGUGUUGUGUGACCGUCGUAGGCCACUGAAGCUCAAGGGAAAAAUUUUAUAGGACGACAAUAAGGCCAGCGAUGUUGUAUGGCAGAGAAUGUUGGGUGGUGAAGCAUCAACACGUACACAAAAUGGGUGUAGCGGAGAUGAGGAUGCUUCGUGGGAUGUGUGGGCACACGAGAAAGGAUAAGAUUGGGAAUGAGGAUAUCCGAGGUAAAGUAGGAGUAGCCGAAAUUGUAGGAAAGAUGAGAGAAAAUCGGCUCUGGUGAUUUGGACAUGUGCAAAGAAGGCCGACUGACGCUCCGGUUCGAAGAUGUGACUACGGGACAGAGGUUCAGGGCCGAAGGGGUAGAGGAAGACCUAGGAAAACUUUGGAAGAGACUCUAAGAAAAGACUUAGAGUACUUGGAUCUAACGGAGGGCAUGACACAAAACCGAGCGCAAUGGCGUUCUAGGAUUCAUAUAGCCGACCCCACUUAGUGGGAAAAGGCUUUGUUGUUGUUGUUGUUGUUGUUGUCUAAAGAUACAAAUGAUGAGAUCAUUUAC
This 5424-nucleotide long non-coding RNA is filed under the name Malus domestica (apple). RNAcentral describes it as "long non-coding RNA (MDOM_LNC017489)". The record is from RNAcentral. Lineage: Eukaryota; Viridiplantae; Streptophyta; Magnoliopsida; Rosales; Rosaceae.